This 247-nucleotide ribosomal RNA is filed under the name uncultured bacterium. RNAcentral's name for it is "partial 16S ribosomal RNA". It matches the Rfam family "Bacterial small subunit ribosomal RNA", at positions 524 to 767 of the family's 1533-position model. The record is from RNAcentral.
UACGUAGGGUGCAAGCGUUAAUCGGAAUUACUGGGCGUAAAGCGUGCGCAGGCGGUUUUGUAAGUCUGUUGUGAAAUCCCCGGGCUCAACCUGGGAAUGGCAAUGGAGACUGCAAGGCUAGAGUUUGGCAGAGGGGGGUAGAAUUCCACGUGUAGCAGUGAAAUGCGUAGAUAUGUGGAGGAACACCGAUGGCGAAGGCAGCCCCCCUGGGUCAAAAACUGACGCUCAUGCACGAAAAGCGUGGGGG